UACUUCUUCGGAAGUAUCAUCAGUGGUAAACGGGUGAGUAAAAGGUAGGGACCUACCCCGAGGACAGAGAUAGCUACUGGAAACGGUAGGUAAACUCUGAUAAGCCCGAGAGGGGAAAGUGGAAGGCAGCCUUGGGAUGGACCUACUAUCCAUCAGGUAGUUGGUGAGGUAAAGGCUUACCAAGCCGAUGACGGAUAACCGGUGUGAGAGCAUGUACGGUCACAAGGGCACUGAGACACGGGCCCUACUCCUACGGGAGGCAGCAGUGGGGAAUAUUGGACAAUGGGCGAAAGCCUGAUCCAGCGACGCCGCGUGAAGGAAGAAGUCCUUCGGGAUGUAAACUUCUGAACUAAUCGAAUAAAAGGGUAGUGGACACACUACAGAAGAAGGUAGAUUAGGAAAAGUCCCGGCUAACUACGUGCCAGCAGCCGCGGUAAGACGUAGGGGGCGAGCGUUGCCCGGAAUCACUGGGUGUAAAGGGGACGUAGGCGGAUGAUCAAGUCAUCUGUGAAAAGAUUGCUCAACGAUUGGCUUGCGGAUGAAACUGGUCAUCUUGGGCGUAGCAGAGGUAGACGGAAUUACCUGAGUAGGGGUGAAAUCCGCAGAUACAGGUAAGAAGGCCGGUGAAGAAGUUGGUCUACUGGGCUACAGCUGACGCUGAGGUCCGAAAGCCAGGGGAGCGAACCGGAUUAGAUACCCGGGUAGUCCUGGCUGUAAACGAUGCUCACUAGGUGUAGGGAGCGAAAGACUCUCUGUGCUGAAGCGAACGCGCUAAGUGAGCCACCUGGGGAGUACGUCCGCAAGGAUGAAACUCAAAGGAAUUGACGGGGGUCCGCACAAGCGGUGGAGCAUGUGGUUUAAUUCGAAGCUA
This 871-nucleotide ribosomal RNA is filed under the name uncultured Petrotoga sp. RNAcentral's name for it is "bacterial SSU rRNA". It matches the Rfam family "Bacterial small subunit ribosomal RNA", at positions 73 to 959 of the family's 1533-position model. Lineage: Bacteria; Thermotogati; Thermotogota; Thermotogae; Petrotogales; Petrotogaceae. The record is from RNAcentral.